UUAUGUGAGUAAAAAAAGCAGCACUUUUCAAACAUUUGAGUUUUUCAUCAGUGAAUUAGUCCUACUGCAGUUGACAGGAUUGCUGCAAAACUGCCCCAGUAUGGAGCUGAAUUUAGAGAAAAUCCUGAUAAACCCUUUGGACAGCAGAGCCACACCAGGAAAGGACAAGGAAACAGAAGUUUGAGAGGGGUUUUUGUUCUUCAGGAACUUGUGCUUGUCCCACGCUACUACAGACCAGUCCAUGGACAGAACCUGACACUGAUAUCUGACUGUAUCCAAUUUCACUCAAUACACAGACAGAGCCUCUCUUCUGAAUUGUGUCCAAAGACACAAUUGGCAGGAGGUAAAAGAAGAAAAGAUGCUGCCUCCAUUCCCCAGCACACCUUGUUGAUUUAGUCUGGAAAAAAAAAGUUCCCUUCACACAGCUCACACACAGCUCAGGUCCUCUGCAUGUUGUGAUUCAGCCAAAUGUCUGCUCUCAUCCCAGGCAAAAUGACCUGCAGGAAGAAGGAGGAGAGGGCAGAUACAAUGAUCUGUGAGCAAAAGCAGAGUUUCAGCAGAAGAAGGAAAAAUCUCAGCUCUGACAGUCACCAUCCCAUAGGUGAAGGGGCUCUAUCCCUGCUGUCCUCUGCCUCCUUCUCCAUAAGAGUAAGACAAAGGGGUGCAAAUUUUGCAGCAAAGAAAAUGCAAGGUGGAUAUUAGGUAUGUUUCUUGCCUGUUGGGGGCUGAGAGAGUGCAGAGUGCUGCAGGAAGGCUUUGGAGGUUUUGGAGGAGCAGUUAAGCAGAUUUUGGGACCAUAGGGUGUUGUUUGAGUCAUUACAGACUGAGGAAAGUCCCAUCCAAGGGAACUGCAGAUGCAGGAGAUCCAUAGAGGGCUGCAGCUCCCGUGGGUGGACAUGUGGAUGGUCCUGAGCAGAGCAGAGACAGAGGAAGAAUCUGGAAUCCUAGAGGAAGGAUGGCAAAAGGCGAUGACCCUUCCCUUACAGGUGUGACUGGAGCUGUGAUCAUGCCACAGCUGGCUGCUGGUUUCCCUUCAUCUGACACUGGGAAUGUCCUGUUCCUCGCACUGACACGUGUCAAAUAAUUCACAGGCUGAAGGGAAUUCACAUCCCUGGAGAGGGAACAUCCAGGGAUGCUUGUCCUGCCUCUGCAAUGAGGGGUCUUUGCCUAAUCUCAGGAGUUCCUUCCCAGCUCUCAGCACAGAAGCACUGUCCAUGAAGGCAGCAGAGUGCCACUGAAACUUUGGAAAAUGGCUGGAGUUUACAGGUAUUUUCAAACCAAAGAUCCAAGCAGAGCCCUUAUUCCCACAUUAGCUUGCUACACAUUUUCCUAAUCAAAACAGUGGAACAGGUUCACAAACAGCCCUUCCUAAGGGUUUUGGUGGGGGUCAGAGGACUUGUCCCUCUUUUCUCAGUCUUACAGCUCCACACCUUUCAUCAGAGACUGGGGCAAGGAGUGUUUCUUUGGAUAAAACUCCCUAUUCCUUAUUCCUUUAGCAGCUUCCCGUGAUGCCAGGCAGCAGCAAGGGGCAUGCUCAGGAGCAAAGCACAAGAGGGAUCUCUGUCAGGUCCUCGUGUCCCCAGGACAAUCCUCUAUGCAGAGCCCUGAGCAGAGGUUUUGUGUAGCCAUCGUGACAGUAAUGCUAUGAAAGAUGCUGCUGAUAUCAGUCUGAGACAGGAAACACGUAAGGAAUUAGAAACAGACUCUCCUGAAAGAAGCAAGACAACAGGAUAUAUUACAAUAUCAAAAUGUGCUUGACAGGUAGAAUUUAUAUAUCACAUAGUGAAAGAAGCUGUUUGUCAAGGAAAGUCCAGUUCACUGAAGAGAACAGAAGAGAAUGAACCGUUCCUGGGCUUUCUAGCAGUGUGGGAGAAGAUCCACGCUACAGGACAAAAAAUCAUAUACAGCUGUAAGGAGUUGGUUCACACAGAAUUAGAUGUGCUGAAGCUGCCACCUGAUGUUUCCUGAUGUUGCCACACACGAGGCCUCUGUGUGACAUCUGUCUCUGAAAAUUUCUGGUCACUGCCCUUAUAAAUGGGAUCAUUUAUAGAAUAUAAGGGAUAGAGGGUCCUUCCAGAAAACCAGCCCAAGUGAAGUAAAUUCAUAGCAUAUCAGAUCCCUGCCAAGGGAAAAGUGUUGCCUAAAAUCAGCUCAAACCUGCUCUUUCCACUGGGAAAAGGAGUUCCUAGAGAACUGCAGAUUUGGUGGGUGCUUUCUGCUUUUCAGGACAAAUGACAGUUCCAAAGAAAAGGAAAAAGCCUUGGAUUGGAAGUUUGGGUUUUGGUAAAGAUUCUGAAGUUUUGGUGAGAGCUGGAGGAAGUUUUAUGUUCUAACACAGCAGGACAGAAGUACAAGGAGCAAACAAGGACUGUGCAGAAUGAGGUGCUGCUUUAGAAAAGUCCAA
Molecule: non-coding RNA, 2404 nt
Organism: Cyanistes caeruleus (blue tit)
Lineage: Eukaryota; Metazoa; Chordata; Aves; Passeriformes; Paridae
Source: RefSeq, a predicted model, not a curated record